CUACGGGUCGCAGCAGUGGGGAAUUUUGGACAAUGGGCACAAGCCUGAUCCAGCAAUGCCGCGUGCAGGAAGAAGGCCUUCGGGUUGUAAACUGCUUUUGUACGGAGCGAAAAGGCUCUCUCUAAUACAGGGGGCUCAUGACGGUACCGUAAGAAUAAGCACCGGCUAACUACGUGCCAGCAGCCGCGGUAAUACGUAGGGUGCAAGCGUUAAUCGGAAUUACUGGGCGUAAAGCGUGCGCAGGCGGUUUUGUAAGACAGGCGUGAAAUCCCCGGGCUCAACCUGGGAAUGGCGCUUGUGACUGCAAGGCUGGAGUGCGGCAGAGGGGGAUGGAAUUCCGCGUGUAGCAGUGAAAUGCGUAGAUAUGCGGAGGAACACCGAUGGCGAAGGCAAUCCCCUGGGCCUGCACUGACGCUCAUGCACGAAAGCGUGGGGAGCAAACAGGAUUAGAUACCCCUGUAGUC
This 464-nucleotide ribosomal RNA is filed under the name uncultured bacterium. RNAcentral describes it as "partial 16S ribosomal RNA". It matches the Rfam family "Bacterial small subunit ribosomal RNA", at positions 339 to 795 of the family's 1533-position model. The record is from RNAcentral.